This 293-nucleotide ribosomal RNA is filed under the name uncultured bacterium. Its description in RNAcentral is "partial 16S ribosomal RNA". It matches the Rfam family "Bacterial small subunit ribosomal RNA", at positions 374 to 659 of the family's 1533-position model. The record is from RNAcentral.
GGGCGCACCCUGAUCCAGCCAUUCCGCGUGAGUGAAGAAGGCCUUCGGGUUGUAAAGCUCUUUCGGCAGGAACGAAACGGUGAGCCCUAAUACCGAGUACUAAUGACGGUACCUGAAGAAUAAGCACCGGCUAACUACGUGCCAGCAGCCGCGGUAAUACGUAGGGUGCGAGCGUUAAUCGGAAUUACUGGGCGUAAAGCGUGCGCAGGCGGUUCCAUAAGACAGAUGUGAAAUCCCCGGGCUUAACCUGGGAACUGCGUUUGUGACUGUGGGGCUGGAGUUUGGGCAGAGGG